This 497-nucleotide ribosomal RNA is filed under the name uncultured bacterium. RNAcentral describes it as "partial 16S ribosomal RNA". It matches the Rfam family "Bacterial small subunit ribosomal RNA", at positions 28 to 507 of the family's 1533-position model. The record is from RNAcentral.
GAUGAACGCUGGCGGCGUGCCUAAUACAUGCAAGUCGAGCGAACAGACGAGGAGCUUGCUCCUCUGACGUUAUCGGCGGACGGGUGAGUAACACGUGGAUAACCUACCUAUAAGACUGGGAUAACUUCGGGAAACCGGAGCUAAUACCGGAUAAUAUAUUGACCCGCAUGGUUCAAUAGUGAAAUACGGUUUUUCUUUCACUUAUAGAUUGAUCCGCGCCGCAUUAGCUAGUUGGUAAGGUAACGGCUUACCAAGGCAACGAUGCGUAGCCGACCUGAGAGGGUGAUCGGCCACACUGGAACUGAGACACGGUCCAGACUCCUACGGGAGGCAGCAGUAGGGAAUCUUCCGCAAUGGGCGAAAGCCUGACGGAGCAACGCCGCGUGAGUGAUGAAGGUCUUCGGAUCGUAAAACUCUGUUAUUAGGGAAGAACAAAUGUGUAAGUAACUAUGCACGUCUUGACGGUACCUAAUCAGAAAGCCACGGCUAACUACGUG